Molecule: small RNA, 76 nt
Filed under: Marmota monax (woodchuck)
Lineage: Eukaryota; Metazoa; Chordata; Mammalia; Rodentia; Sciuridae
Source: RNAcentral
GCUGGGUGUGGUGGCAUACCUGUAAUCCCAGCAACUGGGGAGGCUGAGGCAGGCAAGAGUUCAAAGCCAGCCUCAG